This is a non-coding RNA of Monodelphis domestica (gray short-tailed opossum), 1152 nucleotides long. The record is from RefSeq and is a predicted model, not a curated record. NCBI's taxonomy places the organism in Eukaryota, Metazoa, Chordata, Mammalia, Didelphimorphia, Didelphidae.
CUAGCAUUCUUUCUCCCCUAUCUACUUACGUUUUUUACUUUUCUGACGGGGUGGUUUUAGGAAAAGCCUCUCUGUAGCAAUCCCAGGGUCUUUCUUUGAAGCUCCUCAGUUGCCAAGUUAUUUGGGGAGGCUGGAGGGGCAGAAGGAUCAAAUCGACUCCCCCCCCCCCCUCCGCCCCCAGUCAUCCAAUAUAAGAGAAAUGUGGGUUGAGAAUCUUUAGUCUUUUAAAAACACUUGUUAAAAGUGUCUGAGUUGAGUUACUUUCUAAUAGGAUUUUUUGUAAAAGGAUGGCAGGCCGUUUGUGGGUUUUGGAGCAGGAAGGGAUUGAUUUUGAAGUUUUAUGACUGAUACUUUGAAAAGAAAGAGAGAACACAGAGAUCCAAUAAAGAAGAGGGAGGAUUUGCGGGAUGAGGGUACAAGAAUUAGGCUCCCUCUCCCAUUGUGAAAAGAGCGUUGGAUCUGUAAUGACAGUCUUAUUUGAAGGGGGUGGGGUGUACCAAUCAUUGCUCCCCAGCUGAAAUUAUUACUUCAACAGCGGCUUCCUCCGUGAGGAGGGAGCUUGGAGUGAGGCUGGCUUCAAUGAUUAUUUCCAAAAUGGAGUUUGGAAGGCUUUAGCCGUUAACCCCAACUCCAUGCCCUCCCCCACCCCCCAGCUUUUUUAAGGAAGGCCAUACUAUUGUUCCCCUGAGAAAAUAUUUGGGAGCUUCAAAGAUCAGGCAACCCAGCAGAUAAGGUUAGGGGGGACUAAAAAAUUGUUCCCCCUAGUAAGAAGUUUUGGGGGAGGCUAGAAUAAUAGAUCACUGACCAGAAGUGAGAGUUUGGAGGGUUUAAAAUAUUUAUUAUGUCCAUCCCAAGGAGAAGAGUUUGGAGGGCUAAAAUAAUUGCCCCCACCCACUGAGGAAGGUCAUCCAAGUCUCCAAAUGAGGAGUGAAACUAUGGCCCCUUCUUGAGUGCUUGGGGAGUUCUAGUGGCAGGCUUCAACCUUCAGCCUUACAAUCUCUGCAUGGGUUAUAGACUACUUACUGUAAUAGUGCUACAAAACAAAAACAAGUUAUUGCUAGAGCACUUUUGGCUUAGAUGGCAAUCUUUCCCCAUGGGAAAGGCUUAAAAAAAAAAAACCCUCAAAUCUUGAAUACAUCUCCUGAUAUCUCU